UGGGGAAUAUUGGACAAUGGGGGCAACCCUGAUCCAGCAAUACCGCGUGUGUGAAGAAGGCCUUCGGGUUGUAAAGCACUUUUAGUUGGGAAGAAGUGAUGUUUUCGAAUAGAGAGCAUUAUUGACGUUACCGACAGAAAAAGCACCGGCUAACUCUGUGCCAGCAGCCGCGGUAAUACAGAGGGUGCAAGCGUUAAUCGGAAUUACUGGGCGUAAAGGGCGCGUAGGUUGCUAAGUAAGUUAGAUGUGAAAUGUUCGGGCUUAACCUGGAAUGGCCAUUUAAUACUGCUUAGCUAGAGUACAGUAGAGGGAAGGGGAAUUUCCGGUGUAGCGGUGAAAUGCGUAGAUAUCGGAAGGAACAUCAGUGGCGAAGGCGCCUUCCUGGACUGAUACUGACACU
Molecule: ribosomal RNA, 400 nt
Filed under: uncultured bacterium
Lineage: Bacteria
Description: bacterial SSU rRNA
Rfam family: Bacterial small subunit ribosomal RNA
Source: RNAcentral